Molecule: ribosomal RNA, 760 nt
Filed under: uncultured fungus
Lineage: Eukaryota; Fungi
Description: eukaryotic LSU rRNA
Rfam family: Eukaryotic small subunit ribosomal RNA (bases 1-241)
Source: RNAcentral
UUGCUCUUCAACGAGGAAUGCCUAGUAAGCGCGUGUCAUCAGCAUGCGUUGAUUACGUCCCUGCCCUUUGUACACACCGCCCGUCGCUACUACCGAUUGAAUGGCUCAGUGAGGCCUUCGGACUGGCUCGAGGAGGUUGGCAACGACCACCUCGAGCCGGAAAGUUCGUCAAACUCGGUCAUUUAGAGGAAGUAAAAGUCGUAACAAGGUUUCCGUAGGUGAACCUGCGGAAGGAUCAUUACACAGUAUUAUCGGGGGUAAGAUCUCUUGCCCUGUCUGAUUCUACCCAUGUUUUUUGCGUACCUCUGUUUCCUCGGCAGACUUGUCUGUCAGUAGGACUUUAUCAACCCAUUGUAAUAGCAGUCAGCGUCAGAAAAACGUAAUAAUUACAACUUUCAACAACGGAUCUCUUGGUUCUGGCAUCGAUGAAGAACGCAGCGAAAUGCGAUAAGUAGUGUGAAUUGCAGAAUUCAGUGAAUCAUCGAAUCUUUGAACGCACAUUGCGCCCCUUGGUAUUCCAUGGGGCAUGCCUGUUCGAGCGUCAUUUGUACCUUCAAGCUUUGCUUGGUGUUGGGUGCUUGUCUGCUACUUUGGUAGACUCGCCUUAAAUGCAUUGACAGCCGACAGUCUGGUGUUAGAGCGCAGCACAAUUUGCACUUUGGACCAAGACGAUCGGCAUCCAGUAAGUCGACCAUCUCACGUUUGACCUCGGAUCAGGUAGGGAUACCCGCUGAACUUAAGCAUAUCAAUAAGCGGAGGA